GAUGAAGGACGUAGCGAAAUGCGAUAAGUAGUGUGAAUUGCAGAAUUCAGUGAAUCAUCGAAUCUUUGAACGCACAUUGCGCCCCAUGGUAUUCCGUGGGGCAUGCCUGUUCGAGCGUCAUUUACCCCCUCAAGCUCCGCUUGGUGUUGGGCGUCUGUCCCGCUUCGCGCGCGGACUCGCCCCAAAGGUAUUGGCAGCGGUCGUGCCAGCUUCUCGCGCAGCACAUUGCGCUUCUCGAGGCACCGGUGGGCCCGCGUCCAUCAAGCUCACCCCCCCAGUUUGACCUCGGAUCAGGUAGGGAUACCCGCUGAACUUAAGCAUAUCAAUAAGCGGAGGA
RNAcentral lists this unclassified non-coding RNA (337 nucleotides) under soil metagenome. RNAcentral describes it as "partial contains 5.8S ribosomal RNA, internal transcribed spacer 2, and large subunit ribosomal RNA". The stretch from base 1 to 120 matches the Rfam family "5.8S ribosomal RNA", at positions 35 to 154 of the family's 154-position model. The record is from RNAcentral.